UGUGAUGCGGGCGGUUCGCCGCCCGUGACUCUGCGAGAAGUCCAUUGAACCUUAUCAUUUAGAGGAAGGAGAAGUCGUAACAAGGUUUCCGUAGGUGAACCUGCGGAAGGAUCAUUGUCGAGACCGAAAUACAUCGAGCGAUUUGGAGAACCGGUCAGAUUAAGCGGUGGCCAUUGCCUCCGUUAUAAAAGCCGUCCAAGUUGUUACCUCCUCCCUCGGAGGACGAGGAUGCGAUAAGGAUGGAUGAACACUCAAAUCGGCGCAGCAUCGCGCCAAGGGAAAAAUUGAAACACUUGCCUUCAAAUGGGUUUGGUGGCAUGGGGUGCUGUAGCAUUUCAUAUGGAUGUACACGACUCUCGGCAAUGGAUAUCUCGGCUCUCGCAUCGAUGAAGAGCGCAGCGAAAUGCGAUACAUGGUGCGAAUUGCAGAAUCCCGCGAACCAUCGAGUCUUUGAACGCAAGUUGCGCCCGAGGCCAUCCGGCCAAGGGCACGUCUGCCUGGGCGUCAAUCGCUAUGUCGCUCUAUGUCGUAUUCGCCCCUUGAAGGAUGGGGCUGGAGAUGGCUUAGGUGUGUAGUUUGGCUCAUCGUGCCCCUCGGUGCGGCGGGCUGAAGAGUGUGUCAUCUUUUCAUUGGCAACGAACAAUAAGGGGUGGAUUAAAGUGAGGCCUAUGCUAUUGUGUCGUGUAUGCCUGAGGGAUGAUUAUACAUAUUAAUGUGAUCCCAAAUUAUGCGUCGAUCCGUGGAUGGCGUUUAGAGUGCGACCCCAGGAUGGGCGAGGCCACCCGCCGAGUUUAAGCAUAUCAAUAAGCGGAGGAGAAGAAACGUUUAAGCAUAUCAAUAAGCGGAGGAGAAGAAAC
RNAcentral lists this ribosomal RNA (857 nucleotides) under Dendrobium annae. RNAcentral's name for it is "eukaryotic LSU rRNA". The stretch from base 352 to 507 matches the Rfam family "5.8S ribosomal RNA". The record is from RNAcentral. Lineage: Eukaryota; Viridiplantae; Streptophyta; Magnoliopsida; Asparagales; Orchidaceae.